UACGUAGGGGGCAAGCGUUAUCCGGAAUUACUGGGUGUAAAGGGAGAGUAGGCGGCAAGGUAAGCGAUAUGUGAAAGCCUUAGGCUUAACCUGAGGAUUGCAUAACGAACUAUCUAGCUAGAGUACAGGAGAGGAAAGCGGAAUUCCUAGUGUAGCGGUGAAAUGCGUAGAUAUUAGGAAGGACACCAGUGGCGAAGGCGGCUUUCUGGACUGAAACUGACGCUGAGGCUCGAAAGCGUGGGGAGCGAACAGG
This 253-nucleotide ribosomal RNA is filed under the name uncultured bacterium. Its description in RNAcentral is "partial 16S ribosomal RNA". It matches the Rfam family "Bacterial small subunit ribosomal RNA", at positions 524 to 776 of the family's 1533-position model. The record is from RNAcentral.